CUCCAACAGCAUCUAUCAAUCCUGUUAGCUUUCAGUCAUCAGCCAUGGUUCCAAGCAUGGAACUACCAUUUCCUCCUCAUAUGCAGGAACAACAUCAAAGGGAACUCUCUCUACUUCGCAAAAGACUAGAAGAACUGGAAACAACACAAAGAAAACAACUAGAGGAACUUGGAUCUUCCGGAGAAUGAUGUUCUUGGAGAACAGGCAGAUCAAAAGAGGUGAAGUUGGUGACUCAGUAAAACUUGACAUUUUAACCUGUGGCAUUUAGAUACUUUUUACUGUUUGCCAAAACACUUGAAUGUGCCUCAAGAAAAGGUACCUACUACAUGCUGUAUUGUAUGACUGUCAGGAUUUUAAGAUUAUACAAGUGAAGCAUUAAAAGAGAAAUUCUCAGAGAUAUUUAGAAUAUUUGACAAUGGUUUGAGAAUGUAAAACAAAAAGGAACUAGUUAGAGUCAAGUUUUAAAAUUUUUACUUUGUUGAAUUUUUUUUUUUGGCAUUUUGAGUGAAAUAUAACUAUCAUUAAUUCUCUCUUCAUCUUUGAGAUGCUUGGCCAUAACAGGGUCCAUACACAUCUUCUGGUUUACUAUAUACAAAAACUGUAGUUGAAAAAAGAUGACAAUUUAAAAGUCAGCCUAAAGAAUGUAAAGGUAUCUAUAUACAAAAGGCUACCUUUUCUAAAAUCUGUGUGCACAUAAUUAAAGAGCUUAAUUUUUUU
This 717-nucleotide long non-coding RNA is filed under the name Homo sapiens (human). RNAcentral's name for it is "HSALNT0193312". The record is from RNAcentral. Lineage: Eukaryota; Metazoa; Chordata; Mammalia; Primates; Hominidae.